Long non-coding RNA from Mugil cephalus (flathead mullet), 1606 nucleotides. RefSeq lists it as uncharacterized. The transcript is spliced from 3 exons. Lineage: Eukaryota; Metazoa; Chordata; Actinopteri; Mugiliformes; Mugilidae. The record is from RefSeq and is a predicted model, not a curated record.
UAUUUAUUUUUUAGCUGUUGUGCAACUUGAAGAAUUUAGUUUCUCUGGUCUUGGUGUCGGUGUGUGUGAAUGCGCAUGUCUACGUUUGGAGGACGGAGGCCCGGAUGUCACCAUCAACUCUACCGGAAGAUCCUCCUACAAACGGAUUGGUCCCAUCGGAUCUGCACGUCGAGCUCCACGAAGGCCGAACGUCGAUGCCGCUGAUUCCUGAUAACGCCGUGUGUGCCGUUACUCGACCCUCCUUCAUCCCACUGACGGCCACAAUUAGCCAACAAAAGGGGCCGGUGGAGCGGGCUGCAGCCGGCAACAUCACACUUUGCAAAGCGGAGGUUCAUCGGGCGGUCAUCAGAGAUCCUCAGAGAAUUGAAGUACCUCUUAAAGGACAGUUUCAACAUUUAAAAAAAGCAACGCUUGUUUUGUCUGUAACUCAGAGUCAGAUGAUGUGCCUCAGAAAUGGAACGGUUUUUGUUUUCUGAAUGAGUUAAAGAAAAUGUCAGGAACAGGAGAAGCUGUAUCAAACAAUUAGAAACUUGAUGUUAGCGCCUACUUCAAUUCCCAUUUCCCAUCCUGUUACACCGAUCAGCCACAACAUUAAAACCACCGACAGGAGACGUGAAUAACUAGGGGUGGGGUUUUGGCAACGACUUCAUGAUACGAUACAUUAUUGCGAUAUUAUGAUAUUACGAUAUAUUGCAAUAGUCUACAUAGAUAAUUCGUUGGACAAACUGAGUCAAAAACAACAUUAAUCCAAGUGAUCCAUUUUCAAUUUAUUGCUCUUGUACAGAAAAAGCAGUGGUGGAGGUGUGGAAGUCGUUCACAAUCAAAAUUGUUAUAGAAAAGGUAUCGCAAUAUGUAGCCGUAUCGAUAUGUUUUCCCACCCCAGGCGCCUCCAGCCCAUAGUAGCUUUAGUUUGUUUGUAUUUUUUUUGAAUGAAAGGGAGCAGAAAGAACCAACCAUCAAACUAACAUGUUUCAUAUGUUUCCUUAACAUAUUGGCUUUAAUUAUUCUUUUAAAUGUAAAUUUUGAUUUUGAUUUUUUGGAUCUUUGUUCAGAUUCUUCCAUAAACUGAUUCAAUUCACAGAAACACAACAUUUCAUAAGUUUAGUAGCAAAUCUUGUUUGUUUGUUUUUUUUUUUUCAAUUUUCCCUUUUUGCUGAACAUGUGCAUCCAGUACUUUUAUGUGGAUAUGCAGGACUUGUCACCAAGAUGGUUUAGAUGUUAUUUACUUCUCCAGUCAGUGGUCAUAAUGUUGUGGCUGAUUGGUGUAUAUUAUUUUUUUCAGUAUUUUGUGGCACUAAUGUUUAUAGAAUGAGUGGAAGAGGACACACUGUGUGGUGUUGCUCAUUUUCAGUUACCUCUCCAUUCAUUGGAGCCUUUUGAGCUGAAGAUCUUCCCACGUAACAAUCAAAGUUCUUCCAAUAAUGUAAAAACGAAUGUGGAUGAGAUUGACUCAUCAACAAAAAUAACUCUGGAAUCAACGUCCAACUGCCAUCGUAUAACAUCAACUGCCAUCCAAAAAAUGACGUUGUCAGACAGUGUUCCUACGCAAGUAUGGAAUCUGAUUUUAUAAAUGUCCACGUCUGGAAAAUAAUGGAAAAUGAAAACU